RNAcentral lists this ribosomal RNA (440 nucleotides) under uncultured bacterium. RNAcentral describes it as "partial 16S ribosomal RNA". It matches the Rfam family "Bacterial small subunit ribosomal RNA", at positions 338 to 795 of the family's 1533-position model. The record is from RNAcentral.
CCUACGGGUGGCAGCAGUAGGGAAUAUUGCGCAAUGGGGGAAACCCUGACGCAGCAACGCCGCGUGGAGGAUGAAGGUCUUCGGAUCGUAAACCCCUUUUGUUAGAGAAGAUAAUUACCUUUUCUAACGAAUAAUCACCUGCUAAUUCCGUGCCAGCAACCGCCGUAAUACGGAGGGCCCGAGCGUUCAUAGGAAUUACUGGGCGUAAAGAGCGCGUAGGCGGGAUAGCAAGCCACAUGUGAAAUCCUAGGGCUUAACCAGGGAACUGCAUUUGAAACUGGUAAUCUAGAGUGUGUGAGAGGAAGGUGGAAUUCCUGGUGUAGGGGUGAAAUCCGUAGAGAUCAGGAGGAACACUCGUGGCGAAGGCGACCUGCUAGAACAUAACUGACGCUGAGGCGCGAAAGCGUGGGGAGCAAACAGGAUUAGAUACCCGAGUAGUC